RNAcentral lists this RNase P RNA (411 nucleotides) under Acidobacteriota bacterium. RNAcentral describes it as "Acidobacteria bacterium (sediment metagenome) RNase P RNA component class A". It matches the Rfam family "Bacterial RNase P class A". From Rfam's summary of the family: Ribonuclease P (RNase P) is a ubiquitous endoribonuclease, found in archaea, bacteria and eukarya as well as chloroplasts and mitochondria. Its best characterised activity is the generation of mature 5'-ends of tRNAs by cleaving the 5'-leader elements of precursor-tRNAs. Cellular RNase Ps are ribonucleoproteins. Lineage: Bacteria; Pseudomonadati; Acidobacteriota. The record is from RNAcentral.
CGGAGAGCUUCAGGCGGUCGCUCCGGGAGGCCGCAAGGCCGGCCCGGAGAGGAAAGUCCGAACUCCGACAGGUAGCAUGCUCGCUAACGGCGAGGCGCGGCGACGCGACGGACAGUGCAACAGAAAAGAUACCGCCGGCUCUCCGCGAGGAGGGACGGUAAGGGUGAAAUGGUGCGGUAAGAGCGCACCGCUCCGGCGGCGACGCCGGGGGCACGGAAAACCCCAUGCGGAGCAAGACCAAAUAGGGGGACGGCUCGCGGGCCACCUGUCCCGCCUUCGGGCCUUCGGGUCCGGGGCCAGUUCCCGGGUAGGUUGCUGGAGGCCGGCGGCAACGCCGGUCCCAGAGGAAUGACCGCACCCCGGUGCUUCGGUGCCGGGAGACAGAAUUCGGCUUACGGAGCUCUCCGGCGU